This 409-nucleotide long non-coding RNA is filed under the name Homo sapiens (human). Its description in RNAcentral is "HSALNT0158331". Lineage: Eukaryota; Metazoa; Chordata; Mammalia; Primates; Hominidae. The record is from RNAcentral.
CUUGUUUUACUGGAGGAGAAAGUGGGGCACAGAGAAAUUCAGUUAUUGGUCCGAGGUCACACAGCGUGUGAGUCGGGAAGGAAGGGGCAGCUGGAAUUUGAACCUGGCAGUCUGGCUUCCCUCUGGGGAAGAGCAGUGGAUGAGGGCGAAGCCGACAAGAGCCCAAACUCAUCUGCGCUGCGCUGCUUUUGAGCCACACAAAUCCAAAUAAGGGAUCAUCCAAAUCCUUUAUUUUCUCUCGAAGUUUUGUGAUCAUUAAUCAGUUAACAGCUUGUUCCCUUCUGUGCUGGACAACCCCCAGCUGCAAGGGGCAGGAAUGGAGCAUGGGGGAGGCUGUAAAAUAGAUCACUCAGGAGUUUGUGAGCAGCUGGGCAACAUAGUGAGACCCUGUCUCUAAAAGAAAAAAAAA